Molecule: long non-coding RNA, 1445 nt
Organism: Homo sapiens (human)
Lineage: Eukaryota; Metazoa; Chordata; Mammalia; Primates; Hominidae
Gene: LOHAN2
Product: lncRNA oncogene in head and neck cancer 2
Source: Ensembl
GGGCUACCUGGAACUGGCUUAGGGUGGGAUUACAUACGCCUCCUGCCACAUCGGAUUUCCUUCUAUUUUGUCAGGGGUGGCAUCAUCCAGUGAGUAAAUCUGUUAGUGAUCUCCCUCGCAUAACCUAGGAAUUCUCUCAGGAUCCAUUUUUCCAGUAGUUUUGAGAAAGCGACCAACAACAGCAAAGAGAGUAGUUCUUCCAUUCCAAGAGCAGCCAUCUUGCUUAACUGACAAACUAGAGAGAACUGCAAGGACUCAGUACAUCCCUGGCACAGUCCAUUCUCUCUCACAGCAUAUUGUAUGAGACUGUGUGAGUGCUGCUUCCACGCUACACUAAAAACCCAUGGUCCCUGCAUUAUUUGAGCAACUGACAAGCUUCUGAAGUUCAGGUUCGCGAACGCUGAGAGCAGCACCCAGUGGAUUUGUGGCAGGGAUGCACUCUAUCUGCGCAGAGGAAAACUCGUAGGACCUCCUAGGAUGCAUCUUGGCUCCAAGUUCGUGCAGUGUUAUUAGGAAAUUACAAGUCUAAGCAGCCGCAAAGAGACCGUUAAAUCACAUCACCUGCAGGGACAGCGUUUCACUAUGUUGUCCAGGCUUGUUUCAAACUCCUGGGCUCAAGCCAUCAGCCUGCCUCAACCUCCUAAAGUGCUGACAUUACAGGCAUGAGCCACUGUGCCCAGCCAGGAAAUGUUUCAAAUACUUGAGAUUUUUGAUGAACCAAGCUGGCUGGUGUCGCCUCAGUUUGUCUAAAUUACCAAGGACCGCUGGAAUUUCCCUGGGAAUAUGUUUCGGGAAAGGUCAGAAACUCUUCAGUCGUCUUCACGCUUCCACUCAGUAGCAACGUUUUUGCACACUCAUUGACUAUCAACUGGUUGUCUAUGACUCAAAUUACAUAAUGAAUCCAGCACAUAAAUUAUUUACUCAGAUUUAAUGCCAGCAACUGUUAUCUUUGUAUUUUUUUCCCCUCUGCCAGCUAAUCUGGCUCAUUUCAUUGGAAUUUUGGUCAUGCCCAUUCUCCUUCUGCACUAAAUUAACUCCAUAACGUAGUAUAAACAGAACAAGCUUGUGUGUGAUAUGCUUAACUGUUAAUUUACCUAAUUAAACUAAUUCAAUUAAAUCAUUUACAUCUUUUUGGUAACAUGCCAGUUGAUACCACAGCAGAAGUGGGAUGUUUCAGAAGAUGAUUGUUCAGCAAAUGAAUGGAAAAAAAAAUAAAAGGAAAACAAAAUGAGACAACCGUCCAAAUCUCUUGGCUUGAAAAUUAAAUGAUACUGAAAAAAUGCAGCUUUCACGGGGCACUGUGAUUAGAUAUUUUUCUGAAAUCAAUUUUCUCUACAAAUUGGUAUUUUAACAGAGUGAUCACAAUCUAUUGUACAAAAUAUUUUAAACACUAUUUGUACAUUCACAUAUUUGGUAUGUUUAAGUAAAGUGUGCUUGUUCCCACA